RNAcentral lists this ribosomal RNA (492 nucleotides) under uncultured bacterium. RNAcentral's name for it is "partial 16S ribosomal RNA". It matches the Rfam family "Bacterial small subunit ribosomal RNA", at positions 29 to 507 of the family's 1533-position model. The record is from RNAcentral.
AGUGAACGCUGGCGGUAGGCCUAACACAUGCAAGUCGAACGGCAGCACAGUAAGAGCUUGCUCUUACGGGUGGCGAGUGGCGGACGGGUGAGGAAUACAUCGGAAUCUACUUUUUCGUGGGGGAUAACGUAGGGAAACUUACGCUAAUACCGCAUACGACCUACGGGUGAAAGCAGGGGAUCUUCGGACCUUGCGCGAUUGAAUGAGCCGAUGUCGGAUUAGCUAGUUGGCGGGGUAAAGGCACACCAAGGCGACGAUCCGUAGCUGGUCUGAGAGGAUGAUCAGCCACACUGGAACUGAGACACGGUCCAGACUCCUACGGGAGGCAGCAGUGGGGAAUAUUGGACAAUGGGCGCAAGCCUGAUCCAGCCAUACCGCGUGGGGGAAGAGGGCCUUCGGGUUGUAAAGCCCUUUUGUUGGGAAAGAAAAGCAGCAGGUUAAUACCCCGCUGUUCUGACGGUACCCAAAGAAUAAGCACCGGCUAACUUCGUG